GUGGGGAAUUUUGGACAAUGGGCGAAAGCCUGAUCCAGCCAUGCCGCGUGCAGGAUGAAGGCCUUCGGGUUGUAAACUGCUUUUGUACGGAACGAAAAGACUCCUUCUAAUAAAGGGGGUCCAUGACGGUACCGUAAGAAUAAGCACCGGCUAACUACGUGCCAGCAGCCGCGGUAAUACGUAGGGUGCAAGCGUUAAUCGGAAUUACUGGGCGUAAAGCGUGCGCAGGCGGUUAUAUAAGACAGAUGUGAAAUCCCCGGGCUCAACCUGAGAACUGCAUUUGUGACUGGAUAGCUAGAGUAAGGUAGAGGGGGAUGGAAUUCCGCGUGUAGCAGUGAAAUGCGUAGAUAUGCGGAGGAACACCGAUGGCGAAGGCAAUCCCCUGGACCUGUACUGACGCUCAUGCACGAAAGCGUGGGGAGCAAACAGGAUUAGAAACCCUUGUAGUCC
RNAcentral lists this ribosomal RNA (450 nucleotides) under uncultured bacterium. RNAcentral describes it as "partial 16S ribosomal RNA". It matches the Rfam family "Bacterial small subunit ribosomal RNA", at positions 354 to 796 of the family's 1533-position model. The record is from RNAcentral.